UACGAAGGGGGCUAGCGUUGCUCGGAAUGACUGGGCGUAAAGGGCGCGUAGGCGGAUGGCACAGUCAGAUGUGAAAUUCCCGGGCUUAACCUGGGGGCUGCAUUUGAUACGUGUGAUCUAGAGUGGGGAAGAGGGUCGUGGAAUUCCCAGUGUAGAGGUGAAAUUCGUAGAUAUUGGGAAGAACACCGGUGGCGAAGGCGGCGACCUGGUCCUUGAC
RNAcentral lists this ribosomal RNA (217 nucleotides) under uncultured bacterium. RNAcentral describes it as "partial 16S ribosomal RNA". It matches the Rfam family "Bacterial small subunit ribosomal RNA", at positions 524 to 740 of the family's 1533-position model. The record is from RNAcentral.